GACGAACGCUGGCGGCGUGCUUAACACAUGCAAGUCGAACGGAAAGGCCCUGCUUUUGUGGGGUGCUCGAGUGGCGAACGGGUGAGUAACACGUGAGUAACCUGCCCUUGACUUUGGGAUAACUUCAGGAAACUGGGGCUAAUACCGGAUAGGAGCUCCUGCUGCAUGGUGGGGGUUGGAAAGUUUCGGCGGUUGGGGAUGGACUCGCGGCUUAUCAGCUUGUUGGUGGGGUAGUGGCUUACCAAGGCUUUGACGGGUAGCCGGCCUGAGAGGGUGACCGGCCACAUUGGGACUGAGAUACGGCACAGACUCCUACGGGAGGCAGCAGUGGGGAAUAUUGCACAAUGGGCGGAAGCCCGAUGCAGCAACGCCGCGUGCGGGAUGACGGCCUUCGGGUUGUAAACCGCUUUCGCCUGUGACGAAGCGUGAGUGACGGUAAUGGGUAAAGAAGCACCGGCUAACUACGUG
Molecule: ribosomal RNA, 468 nt
Filed under: uncultured bacterium
Lineage: Bacteria
Description: partial 16S ribosomal RNA
Rfam family: Bacterial small subunit ribosomal RNA
Source: RNAcentral